UAGGGAAUCUUCGGCAAUGGACGAAAGUCUGACCGAGCAACGCCGCGUGAGUGAAGAAGGUUUUCGGAUCGUAAAACUCUGUUGUUAGAGAAGAACAAGGACGUUAGUAACUGAACGUCCCCUGACGGUAUCUAACCAGAAAGCCACGGCUAACUACGUGCCAGCAGCCGCGGUAAUACGUAGGUGGCAAGCGUUGUCCGGAUGUAUUGGGCGUAAAGCGAGCGCAGGCGGUUUCUUAAGUCUGAUGUGAAAGCCCCCGGCUCAACCGGGGAGGGUCAUUGGAGACUGGGGGAAUUGAGUGCAGAAGAGGGGAGUGGAAUUCCAUGUGUAGCGGUGAAAUGCGUGGAUAUAUGGAGGAACACCAGUGGCGAAGGCGGCUCGCUGGUCGGUAACUGCCGCUGAGGCUCGAAAGCGUGGGGAGCAAACAGG
RNAcentral lists this ribosomal RNA (429 nucleotides) under Chloroflexota bacterium. Its description in RNAcentral is "Chloroflexi bacterium partial 16S ribosomal RNA". It matches the Rfam family "Bacterial small subunit ribosomal RNA", at positions 355 to 776 of the family's 1533-position model. The record is from RNAcentral. Lineage: Bacteria; Bacillati; Chloroflexota.